Molecule: long non-coding RNA, 1980 nt
Organism: Salvia splendens (bonfire salvia)
Lineage: Eukaryota; Viridiplantae; Streptophyta; Magnoliopsida; Lamiales; Lamiaceae
Exons: 11
Source: RefSeq, a predicted model, not a curated record
CUCAACAACAAAACUCUGUAUUUAUUGUAUCAUCAGAAGAAAUAAAACAAAAUUGAACAACACUCAGCACAUCAAUGGAGUGAUUUCCCAUCGGUUUCAGCAGACGACGAUGGCGGAGAACUGAAGUAACGACGGAGCUGCUUAGUCAAAAUUGCAUCCGCAGGAUUGCAAAACCACAUCCAUGGCUCCGGCUACAUCCUCGCAGGAGUAGACGACGAUGGCCGAGAAUUGAAAUUGCCUAAAUAAGUGCGGAGCUGCUUAAUCACCACUGCAUCCGCUGGACUGCAAAACCACAUCCACGGCUCCGGCAUUACUGUUGAAUACCAGCUUUUUUUGGGUUGCUGCAGACUACUCGCAGUAGCAGAAAUUGACUCAGCACCGCAGCAAAGAGAAUCAGCGAAUCGAUUGGUCAGUUUAACCGAAAAAGAACGAUUAUUCAAUUUUCUGAUGUGCUAUGUCCUGCUUCCAAUCCUCCGUCGUCGCAUUGCGGACUGUUUACCCCAACGCCGUCGUCUGGUCGGAAGAGAAUUUGGUGGCGGUGGCGUGUGUCACCUCUGUUAUAAUUCUGAAUCCUCAUAAUCCUAAAGUUCGAGGUGUGAUUACCGUUCCAUCUAGCAAGCGCUUCCCCACUGGGAAGAUUGUUGUUGAUGGCGGAGGUGCUGAUUUGCUAAAUGGGUGCAUGCUUCCUUAUCACUUAUGAAGGGAAAUUCGUCCUUGUGUUCGGUCAAUUUCUUGGUCUCCUGCAGGUCUCGCCAACUAUGCUAGGUUGUGAAUAUAUCUGAAGUGUUACAUAAUUACUACAAGAGCACCAAUUUAGGGGAGUGUCAAAUUGUACCCUUGGAAGGUUCUGAUGUUAUACCAAUACAAGAUACUGCAAAUAAGGAUACACGUUUGAGAAAGUGUGUCAACCGUAGAAGACAAAAAACAGCUAAUGUAGUAUCAGAAGACCAUGAAAAUCUGGGUGAGAAGAACAAUUGGAAAAUUGUUUCCUCCUCUUUCUAUGAAGGGAACCAUCCGGAGGAAGUGACCGAAGACUGUCUACCAUUAAUAUCUGCACAGCAAUAUGCUUCUCGCAAUGAAAUGCUACUGUCACUUAUUAUUGCUUGGUCUCCAAUUCUGGAGACAUCUGGAGACGAUGUGGCUUUUCCUUCUAGGCUGCUCAAUUCUUGCUGUUGGUGGAAAGUGCGGUAAAAUUUUAUUGUGGAGAGUUCGAGCACCUGAGUACUAUUCUACUGAUAAUGCUGGGCACUCGAGUGAGGUUCGACUUGUUGGCCUUGAGAAGACACAUGAUAGCUGGAUUACAGCAAUUAGUUGGGUUGGAUAUGGGUCUAAUGAUUCAAAGACCCAGUUUGCAUUGGAUACUGAGAGUUCUGAUGGUUGGUGCGUAAUUUUAUAUUACCUUACGGCUGACCUCUAAAAUGAGUAGAAUUUUGAUUGCUCUUAAAUAACCACCACUGUGAAGAUCUGGCUGGUAAAUGGUGAAAAUUUACUCAAGGCAUCUGAAGUUAUCGAUGAUUCAUUAUCAUUGUUGAGGGAGGUUGCUACUGUUGAUUCUUCAAUGAUAUAUGUACUUUCACUUACUGUGCCCACACGAUCACCAUCAAAAUUGUUCUUGGCUAUUGGCAAAAGUUCUGGAUCCUAUGAAUUGUGUACCCUUGACACAUCUACUGGCGAAUUUGACAAUGUUGGCUGUUAUAAUGCACAUGACAGCUAGGUUUCUGGUUUAGCUUGGGCUUUUGAUGGACGUUUUUGUACAGCUGUAGUCGGGGUGGGCUGAUAUUAUCGAAACACUAGGACUCGAAUAAAGAAGAUAGAACUUUCUCACGGAGAAGGAGCUGAAGAACUCACGGAGGAGAACUUCAUGAGGAAAAAUCGUUCCUCUCUCAAAUAUGAGUGGACGAAAAUUUCAUAAUGAAAUUAAAUUAAUUUAUGUAUCUUUUAUUCUCCUAUUUAUAAUAGUUCAUAUUGGGCCCAGACAGG